GGGAAGAAAAAGAUAUCAAACCCCAGUAUCCAAAGACCCCGGAACCGUAUCGAUCCCGACCCCUGCUUGGUAUCGAUUGAUCAAUGCCCCUGCCGAAAAGAGGAAUUGCCCUUUAAAAUGGUUGGGAAAGAGAUUGGGAGGGAGGGUUGAUAUUAAUCAAAGCAGGCCCCUCAGAAGGACGGCAGAGCAGCACGGGGAAGAGGAAACAAAAGAAGGAGGUUUGCCGAACAGCCUCGAAUAUUACGGCGGGAGAAGCGAUCAGUUAAUGGCACUGGAUGCAAUGAGUGUUUUCUGGGUGGCAAUCAUCUCUUUAUAUCAUCUUUCUUCCUGCGCCGUGGGGACUCACCAAGGACCUUACAGUUGUUGGCGUCAUCUGGUCAGGAACUCUCUGCAGCUGAGAGUGGAGUGUGACUCGGUGGCCCUGCCACCGAAGCGUGUGAAGAAUCCAACCUCUCCCGUCACCAGCACUUGCCAGAUCUUCGCUCAGUCAACUCUUCGGAUCUUUGCUGGGAGACCACAGGGUUUUCAACGUCAGCCUCCGGCCACCUCCUCGAUUUUGCCUGAGGCACUGGUUGGAGCCUUCCCCUGUGUGGCUCUCCACG
This 602-nucleotide long non-coding RNA is filed under the name Homo sapiens (human). RNAcentral's name for it is "long non-coding RNA NONHSAT176610.1". The record is from RNAcentral. Lineage: Eukaryota; Metazoa; Chordata; Mammalia; Primates; Hominidae.